This 254-nucleotide ribosomal RNA is filed under the name uncultured bacterium. Its description in RNAcentral is "partial 16S ribosomal RNA". It matches the Rfam family "Bacterial small subunit ribosomal RNA", at positions 524 to 776 of the family's 1533-position model. The record is from RNAcentral.
UACGUAGGGCGCAAGCGUUAUCCGGAAUUAUUGGGCGUAAAGAGCUCGUAGGCGGUUUGUCGCGUCUGCCGUGAAAGUCCGGGGCUCAACUCCGGAUCUGCGGUGGGUACGGGCAGACUAGAGUGAUGUAGGGGAGACUGGAAUUCCUGGUGUAGCGGUGAAGUGCGCAGAUAUCAGGAGGAACACCGAUGGCGAAGGCGGGUCUCUGGGCAGUAACUGACGCUGAGGAGCGAAAGCGUGGGGGAGCGAACAGG